CCCUUAGAUGUUCUGGGCCGCACGCGCGCUACACUGAUGCAUUCAACGAGUCUAAAACCUGCGCUGAUAGGGGUGGGUAAUCUUUUGAAUGUGCAUCGUGAUUGGGAUAGAUGAUUGCAAUUUUUCAUCUUCAACGAGGAAUGCCUAGUAAACGCAAGUCAUCAGCUUGCAUUGAUUACGUCCCUGCCCUUUGUACACACCGCCCGUCGCUCCUACCGAUUGAAUGAUCCGAUGAAUAUCAUGGAUUGAGGAUGCAAGUAGGUUCACCUAUCUUCAUCUUCGAGAAGUGAAGUAAAUCUUAUCAUUUAGAGGAAGGAGAAGUCGUAACA
This 329-nucleotide ribosomal RNA is filed under the name uncultured eukaryote. RNAcentral describes it as "partial 18S ribosomal RNA". It matches the Rfam family "Eukaryotic small subunit ribosomal RNA", at positions 1470 to 1796 of the family's 1831-position model. The record is from RNAcentral.